CAUGGUGACCAAUGGCGAGUUCUCUCCUCUCAGAACAGGACCCCAAAAUUAGUCGAGGGUCCUUCCUCCAGCACCAAGUGUUGCUCCUAAUUUUUUCAUCUAAAGUCGAAUGUCGAGGUGGAGAUUGCCGAGGUGAAACUACUGCUGAAGCUCUGCCCGAAUACCUGUAAAAAGUGCUCAUCGAAAAAUUCUCCAGUGA
Molecule: long non-coding RNA, 199 nt
Filed under: Elaeis guineensis (African oil palm)
Lineage: Eukaryota; Viridiplantae; Streptophyta; Magnoliopsida; Arecales; Arecaceae
Description: long non-coding RNA (EGUI_LNC021963)
Source: RNAcentral